Molecule: ribosomal RNA, 272 nt
Filed under: uncultured Staphylococcus sp.
Lineage: Bacteria; Bacillati; Bacillota; Bacilli; Caryophanales; Staphylococcaceae
Description: partial 16S ribosomal RNA
Rfam family: Bacterial small subunit ribosomal RNA
Source: RNAcentral
CGUUAGCGGCGGACGGGUGAGUAACACGUGGGUAACCUACCUAUAAGACUGGGACAACUUCGGGAAACCGGAGCUAAUACCGGAUAAGAUAUCGAACCGCAUGGUUCGAUAGUGAAAGAUGGUUUUGCUAUCACUUAUAGAUGGACCCGCGCCGUAUUAGCUAGUUGGUGAGGUAACGGCUCACCAAGGCAACGAUACGUAGCCGACCUGGGAGGGUGAUCGGCCACACUGGAACUGAGACACGGUCCAGACUCCUACGGGGGGCAGCAGUA